RNAcentral lists this transfer RNA (83 nucleotides) under Bacillota bacterium. RNAcentral's name for it is "tRNA-Leu". It matches the Rfam family "tRNA". Rfam says of the family: Transfer RNA (tRNA) molecules are approximately 80 nucleotides in length. Their secondary structure includes four short double-helical elements and three loops (D, anti-codon, and T loops). Further hydrogen bonds mediate the characteristic L-shaped molecular structure. tRNAs have two regions of fundamental functional importance: the anti-codon, which is responsible for specific mRNA codon recognition, and the 3' end, to which the tRNAs corresponding amino acid is attached (by aminoacyl-tRNA synthetases). tRNAs cope with the degeneracy of the genetic code in two manners: having more than one tRNA (with a specific anti-codon) for a particular amino acid; and 'wobble' base-pairing, i.e. permitting non-standard base-pairing at the 3rd anti-codon position. Lineage: Bacteria; Bacillati; Bacillota. The record is from RNAcentral.
GCGGAUAUGGCGGAACUGGCAGACGCGGCAGACUUAGGAUCUGCUUCGCAAGAGUGGGGGUUCAAAUCCCUUUAUCCGCACCA